This 1404-nucleotide long non-coding RNA is filed under the name Triticum aestivum (bread wheat). RNAcentral's name for it is "long non-coding RNA (TAES_LNC015012)". The record is from RNAcentral. Lineage: Eukaryota; Viridiplantae; Streptophyta; Magnoliopsida; Poales; Poaceae.
UUUCUUUUGACAACCUAUGUACCUAUAUAAGCACUGAGGCAUGGCAAUUGUUCCCUCAGCAACUCACGGAGAGCCUCGCGAAUCCGGCAAGAUGCUGCUGCCCAAUUCUCGCCGCUUCCUUGCUCGGCUUCUUGCCGUCCUCACGUUGCUACUGCUAACCUUCGUCGGUGGCCAUGCACGUGGUCUAGGUCGAAGCUGCGAUACUUUUCGUAAGUACACAUGCAAGUUUUCGUUUCAAUAUUCAUUUCUCAGCUUAUACUUAUCUGUUCCUGGUGAACAGUAAAUAUCUCUACUACUUCCUCAGUUCAUUUUUAUAGGACCUUGAAAACAUUUUAGAUAAUGUGCAAAACAGUUUAUUUUAAAUUGUUUAAAACGACUUACACAAGUGAACGGAGGGAGUAGUAAAAUAGGCAGAUUCUGGAAGCCCAAGGAUUCAACAGUAUAUGGAUAUGGAAAAUAUAAGAUUUCCGAUCCUAGCGGGAACAGGCGAGGAACAGAUAUCCAAUAGGAUAUAGGAUCCUUGGGAGGGAAAUAUUUAUUUCAAAAACUGAUUUUUUUUAAUCAAAGAUGUUUGAAUGCAUGAUGUCGUGGCAAAAUUUCAUUGUAUUUGGUCAUCUGAGAAGCUCGUGGCAAAAAAGACAAAAUCGGUCCGAGCAGCGUGCGAACAGUAAACUUUCUCACAAACCCUAAUUUUUUGGCUGUGAGCUACUCAGAUGUCCAAACACGAUGAAAUUUGGCAGCGACAUCACACAACUCAGACAUCUUUCACCACAAAAAAAUCCAGUUUUUUUCUUUUUAAUGAUUUUACUGUUCAAUCCGGGAGCCAAAACGCCGGUCCCUGUUUUCGUUUUUCUUUUAACUUGCAAUGCAUGUGUUGCCGUUUCAAAAGUUGCAUGUGUUGAGAACAUAACAUGCCCAUAGGUAUUGACUUUGUGCAGUUUUUCAGAUAGCGACUCCCGCAAAAAAAAAAAAGAAGAAGUUUUUCAGAUAUCGACAGUUUUUUCAGUUUAGAAUGCGGAGUAUACUCUAUUUCCAAAUGAUCUGAUAUGUGUUUUGACCAUCAUCGCAGAGAACCCAACCGGCUGCUCAAGUUUGCCCUCUCCAAACUGUCCUGAAUGUGGUCGACGGUAAGCGCCUUCCGUUUUCCUUGAUAAUGGGACGUGCGAAGAUUCUUCAGACCGCCCAAGUGAGGAUAGAGCAGGGCUCACUCCGAUCGGAGCAUAUGUGGACGGCCAUGGUUUACUAUGAUGAUUUGUACGUACAAAUGAAAUGUUGAUCGUUCUACAAAAAUUGUUUCUAUUUCUCGAUAAUAUGAUAAGAGAAUAUGAACUUAUGAAAGCCUUAAUUUUGAAUACACACGAGUGUGCGUACUAUCCCAUUGUUACAUUCUGAGCUGAAAUGAGG